GAUGAACGCUGGCGGCGUGCCUAAUACAUGCAAGUCGAGCGAACAGACGAGGAGCUUGCUCCUCUGACGUUAGCGGCGGACGGGUGAGUAACACGUGGAUAACCUACCUAUAAGACUGGGAUAACUUCGGGAAACCGGAGCUAAUACCGGAUAAUAUAUUGAACCGCAUGGUUCAAUAGUGAAAGACGGUUUUGCUGUCACUUAUAGAUGGAUCCGCGCCGCAUUAGCUAGUUGGUAAGGUAACGGCUUACCAAGGCAACGAUGCGUAGCCGACCUGAGAGGGUGAUCGCCCACACUGGAACUGAGACCCGGUCCAGCCUCCUACGGGAGGCAGCAGUAGGGAAUCUUCCGCAAUGGGCGAAAGCUUGACGGAGCAACGCCGCGUGAGUGAUGAAGGUCUUCGGAUCGUAAACCUCUUUUUUUAGGGAAGAAAAAAUGUGUAAGUAACUAUGCACGUCUUGACGGUACCUAAUCAGAAAGCCACGGCUAACUACGUG
This 497-nucleotide ribosomal RNA is filed under the name uncultured bacterium. Its description in RNAcentral is "partial 16S ribosomal RNA". It matches the Rfam family "Bacterial small subunit ribosomal RNA", at positions 28 to 507 of the family's 1533-position model. The record is from RNAcentral.